GUGCUCACUUCAGCAGCAUAUAACAAAAUUGGAAUAAUACAGAGAAGAUUAGUAUGGCCCCUGCACAAAGAUGACAUGAGAAUUCAUGAAGCAUUCCAUAUUUUU
RNAcentral lists this small nuclear RNA (105 nucleotides) under Microcebus murinus (gray mouse lemur). The record is from RNAcentral. Lineage: Eukaryota; Metazoa; Chordata; Mammalia; Primates; Cheirogaleidae.